Molecule: transfer RNA, 72 nt
Filed under: Dictyocaulus viviparus (bovine lungworm)
Lineage: Eukaryota; Metazoa; Nematoda; Chromadorea; Rhabditida; Metastrongylidae
Rfam family: tRNA
About the family: Transfer RNA (tRNA) molecules are approximately 80 nucleotides in length. Their secondary structure includes four short double-helical elements and three loops (D, anti-codon, and T loops).
Source: Rfam by way of RNAcentral
GCCUCGGUGGUGUAGUGGGAAGCACGACAGACCGGAUAUCUGUAAGUGCGGAUAUGAGUCCCGCUUGAGGUU